This 562-nucleotide ribosomal RNA is filed under the name Pristolepis fasciata (Malayan leaffish). RNAcentral describes it as "partial 16S large subunit ribosomal RNA". It matches the Rfam family "Bacterial large subunit ribosomal RNA", at positions 1845 to 2605 of the family's 2925-position model. Lineage: Eukaryota; Metazoa; Chordata; Actinopteri; Anabantiformes; Pristolepididae. The record is from RNAcentral.
AUAAGAGGUCCCGCCUGCCCUGUGACAUACGUGUUUAACGGCCGCGGUAUUUUGACCGUGCAAAGGUAGCGCAAUCACUUGUCUUUUAAAUGAAGACCUGUAUGAAUGGCAUAACGAGGGCUUAACUGUCUCCUUUUUCAAGUCAAUGAAAUUGAUCUCCCCGUGCAGAAGCGGGGAUAACCCCAUAAGACGAGAAGACCCUAUGGAGCUUUAGACACAAGGCAGAUCUUGUUAAUCACCUUUAAACAAAAAGCCAAACCAGAAGAACCCUGCCCUAAUGUCUUUGGUUGGGGCGACCGCGGGGAAACAAACAACCCCCACGUGGAUUAGGAGAACUUCUCCCACAACCAAGAGCCACAGCUCUAAGCAACAGAAUCUCUGACCAUCAGAUCCGGCUACACGCCGAUCAACGGACCGAGUUACCCUAGGGAUAACAGCGCAAUCCCCUUUUAGAGCCCAUAUCGACAAGGGGGUUUACGACCUCGAUGUUGGAUCAGGACAUCCUAAUGGUGCAGCCGCUAUUAAGGGUUCGUUUGUUCAACGAUUAAAGUCCUACGUGAUC